GGAGUUGUGCCUGAAACAAAGGGCCACUUUGAUGUAGUGAACCAUAGGGGUUAAAGUCCCCUCAACUCCU
This 70-nucleotide transfer RNA is filed under the name Channa pleurophthalma. Lineage: Eukaryota; Metazoa; Chordata; Actinopteri; Anabantiformes; Channidae. The record is from RNAcentral.